UGCUUAGUGGAGUAGUGGUGACACGUUAAGCUUGAGACCAAGGAGUCCCGGGUUCGAUUCCUGGCUAGGGCAU
Non-coding RNA from Rhamnusium bicolor, 73 nucleotides. The record is from the annotation of a GenBank genome assembly. NCBI's taxonomy places the organism in Eukaryota, Metazoa, Arthropoda, Insecta, Coleoptera, Cerambycidae.